UACGGAGGGGGCUAGCGUUGUUCGGAAUUACUGGGCGUAAAGGGUGCGCAGGCGGCGUCGCAAGUCAGGCGUGAAAUCCCCGGGCUUAACCUGGGAACUGCACUUGAAACUACGAUGCUGGAGUAUGGCAGAGGGAGGUGGAAUUCCACGUGUAGCGGUGAAAUGCGUAGAGAUGUGGAGGAACACCGAUGGCGAAGGCAGCCUCCUGGGCCAAUACUGACGCUGAGGCGCGAAAGCUAGGGGAGCAAACGGG
This 253-nucleotide ribosomal RNA is filed under the name uncultured bacterium. RNAcentral's name for it is "partial 16S ribosomal RNA". It matches the Rfam family "Bacterial small subunit ribosomal RNA", at positions 524 to 776 of the family's 1533-position model. The record is from RNAcentral.